RNAcentral lists this ribosomal RNA (710 nucleotides) under uncultured bacterium. RNAcentral describes it as "bacterial SSU rRNA". It matches the Rfam family "Bacterial small subunit ribosomal RNA", at positions 94 to 823 of the family's 1533-position model. The record is from RNAcentral.
AGCGGCGGACGGGUGAGUAACGCGUGGGUAACCUGCCCUGUACACACGGAUAACAUACCGAAAGGUAUGCUAAUACGAGAUAAUAUACUUUUAUCGCAUGGUAGAAGUAUCAAAGCUCCGGCGGUACAGGAUAGACCCGCGUCUGAUUAGCUAGUUGGUAAGGUAACGGCUUACCAAGGCGACGAUCAGUAGCCGACCUGAGAGGGUGAUCGGCCACAUUGGAACUGAGACACGGUCCAAACUCCUACGGGAGGCAGCAGUGGGGAAUAUUGCACAAUGGGCGAAAGCCUGAUGCAGCAACGCCGCGUGAGCGAUGAAGGCCUUCGGGUCGUAAAGCUCUGUCCUCAAGGAAGAUAAUGACGGUACUUGAGGAGGAAGCCCCGGCUAACUACGUGCCAGCAGCCGCGGUAAUACGUAGGGGGCUAGCGUUAUCCGGAAUUACUGGGCGUAAAGGGUGCGUAGGUGGUUUCUUAAGUCAGAGGUGAAAGGCUACGGCUCAACCGUAGUAAGCCUUUGAAACUGGGAAACUUGAGUGCAGGAGAGGAGAGUGGAAUUCCCAGUGUAGCGGUGAAAUGCGUAGAUAUUAGGAGGAACACCAGUUGCGAAGGCGGCUCUCUGGACUGUAACUGACACUGAGGCACGAAAGCGUGGGGAGCAAACAGGAUUAGAUACCCUGGUAGUCCACGCCGUAAACGAUGAGUACUAGCUGU